GCGGGUGUGGCGGAAUUGGCAGACGCGCUGGACUCAGGAUCCAGUGGCCUUUUGGCCGUGAGGGUUCAACUCCCUCCACCCGCACCA
RNAcentral lists this transfer RNA (87 nucleotides) under Acidobacteriota bacterium. RNAcentral's name for it is "Acidobacteria bacterium tRNA-Leu". It matches the Rfam family "tRNA". Rfam says of the family: Transfer RNA (tRNA) molecules are approximately 80 nucleotides in length. Their secondary structure includes four short double-helical elements and three loops (D, anti-codon, and T loops). Further hydrogen bonds mediate the characteristic L-shaped molecular structure. tRNAs have two regions of fundamental functional importance: the anti-codon, which is responsible for specific mRNA codon recognition, and the 3' end, to which the tRNAs corresponding amino acid is attached (by aminoacyl-tRNA synthetases). tRNAs cope with the degeneracy of the genetic code in two manners: having more than one tRNA (with a specific anti-codon) for a particular amino acid; and 'wobble' base-pairing, i.e. permitting non-standard base-pairing at the 3rd anti-codon position. The record is from RNAcentral. Lineage: Bacteria; Pseudomonadati; Acidobacteriota. RNAcentral also lists the same sequence under 1 other name.